UAAAAGCCUGGUCCUGACUUUAACAUCAGUUGUAACCCAACUUACACAUGCAAGUACCCGCACCCCUGUGAGAAUGCCCUUUACCCCCGGUAGGAAAAAAGGAGCAGGCAUCAGGCACGCACGUGCAGCCCAAAACGCCUUGCUUAGCCACACCCCCAAGGGAACUCAGCAGUGACAAAUAUUAAGCCAUGAGCGAAAGCUUGACUUAAUUAAGGUUAUACAAGGGCCGGUAAAACUCGUGCCAGCAACCGCGGUUAUACGAGAGGCCCAAAUUGAUAUAUCACGGCGUAAAGUGUGAUUAGAGACAAACCAAAACUAGAACUAAAUACCCCCUAUGCUGUCAUACGCCAUGGAGGUCACGAAGCCCAACAACGAAAGUGGUUCUACAAACCUUGAACUCACGACAGCUAAGGUACAAACUGGGAUUAGAUACCCCACUAUGCUUAGCCUUAAACCAAGGUGAUAAACCUACAAACUUCACCCGCCAGGGAACUACGAGCCCCAGCUUAAAACCCAAGGGACUUGGCGGUGCCUCAAACCCACCUAGAGGAGCCUGUCCUGCAACCGAUAAUCCCCGUUAAACCUCACCCUUCCUUGCCAAUUCCGCCUAUAUACCGCCGUCGCCAGUUUACCUUUUGAGAGAACAACAGUAAGCAAAACGGGCAACACCCAACACGUCAGGUCGAGGUGUAGCGAAUGGAAGGGGAAGAGAUGGGCUACAUUUUCUGUUAACAGAAUACUACGAAGAGCACAAUGAAAUAUGUGCGGUCGAAGGUGGAUUUAGCAGUAAAAAGAGAGAAGAGAGUUCUUUUGAAACCGGCCCUGAGGCGCGUACACACCGCCCGUCACUCUCCUCGAAAAACAAAGUGACAGUACAUAAAACCUGAAGAAGAAAUAGAGAGGAGGCAAGUCGUAACAUGGUAAGUGUACCGGAAGGUGCGCUUGGAAUAAU
This 952-nucleotide non-coding RNA is filed under the name Gymnothorax favagineus (laced moray). RNAcentral's name for it is "12S ribosomal RNA". It matches the Rfam family "Bacterial small subunit ribosomal RNA". Lineage: Eukaryota; Metazoa; Chordata; Actinopteri; Anguilliformes; Muraenidae. The record is from RNAcentral.